CACUCUAAGCGGUGGAUCACUCGGCUCAUGGGUCGAUGAAGAACGCAGCAAACUGUGCGUCAUCGUGUGAACUGCAGGACACAUGAACAUCGACAUUUUGAACGCAUAUCGCAGUCCAUGCUGUUUGGUACUUUAAUUACACUAGCGUGGCUAGUGUAG
Molecule: ribosomal RNA, 159 nt
Filed under: Drosophila persimilis
Lineage: Eukaryota; Metazoa; Arthropoda; Insecta; Diptera; Drosophilidae
Description: 5.8S ribosomal RNA
Rfam family: 5.8S ribosomal RNA
About the family: 5.8S ribosomal RNA (5.8S rRNA) is a component of the large subunit of the eukaryotic ribosome. It is transcribed by RNA polymerase I as part of the 45S precursor that also contains 18S and 28S rRNA. Functionally, it is thought that 5.8S rRNA may be involved in ribosome translocation.
Source: RNAcentral